GGCGAACGCUGGCGGCGUGCUUAACACAUGCCAGUCGAACGAAAAGAGGGAAAGAGCUUGCUCUUUCCGGAAUUGAGUGGCAAACGGGUGAGUAACACGUAAACAACCUGCCUUCAGGAUGGGGACAACAGACGGAAACGACUGCUAAUACCGAAUAAGUUCCAAGAGCCGCAUGGCCCAUGGAAGAAAAGGUGGCCUCUACCUGUAAGCUAUCGCCUGAAGAGGGGUUUGCGUCUGAUUAGCUGGUUGGAGGGGUAACGGCCCACCAAGGCGACGAUCAGUAGCCGGUCUGAGAGGAUGAACGGCCACACUGGAACUGAGACACGGUCCAGACUCCUACGGGAGGCAGCAGUGGGGAAUCUUCCGCAAUGGGCGAAAGCCUGACGGAGCAACGCCGCGUGAGUGAUGACGGCCUUCGGGUUGUAAAACUCUGUGAUCCGGGACGAAAAGGCAGAGUGCGAAGAACAAACUGCAUUGACGGUACCGGAAAAGCAAGCCACGGCUAACUACGUG
RNAcentral lists this ribosomal RNA (513 nucleotides) under uncultured bacterium. RNAcentral describes it as "partial 16S ribosomal RNA". It matches the Rfam family "Bacterial small subunit ribosomal RNA", at positions 28 to 507 of the family's 1533-position model. The record is from RNAcentral.